UGGGGAAUUUUGGACAAUGGGCGCAAGCCUGAUCCAGCCAUGCCGCGUGAGUGAAGAAGGCCUUCGGGUUGUAAAGCUCUUUCGGCGGGGACGAAACGGUCCGUGUUAACACCACGGAUCACUGACGGUACCCGCAGAAGAAGCACCGGCUAACUACGUGCCAGCAGCCGCGGUAAUACGUAGGGUGCAGGCGUUAAUCGGAAUUACUGGGCGUAAAGCGUGCGCAGGCGGUCUCUUAAGACAGGUGUGAAAUCCCCGGGCUUAACCUGGGAACUGCGCUUGUAACUGAGAGGCUUGAGUGCGGCAGAGGGGGGUGGAAUUCCACGUGUAGCAGUGAAAUGCGUAGAGAUGUGGAGGAACACCGAUGGCGAAGGCAGCCCCCUGGGUCGACACUGACGCUCAUGCACGAAAGCGUGGGGAGCAAACAGG
This 429-nucleotide ribosomal RNA is filed under the name uncultured bacterium. Its description in RNAcentral is "bacterial SSU rRNA". It matches the Rfam family "Bacterial small subunit ribosomal RNA", at positions 355 to 776 of the family's 1533-position model. The record is from RNAcentral.